RNAcentral lists this transfer RNA (75 nucleotides) under Rariglobus hedericola. RNAcentral's name for it is "tRNA-Met(cat)". It matches the Rfam family "tRNA". Rfam says of the family: Transfer RNA (tRNA) molecules are approximately 80 nucleotides in length. Their secondary structure includes four short double-helical elements and three loops (D, anti-codon, and T loops). Lineage: Bacteria; Pseudomonadati; Verrucomicrobiota; Opitutia; Opitutales; Opitutaceae. The record is from RNAcentral.
GGCUCGGUAGCUUAAUUUCAGAGCGAAGGACUCAUAAUCCUUGGGGUGCCGGUGAGAGUCCGGCCCGAGCCACCA